AUAACAUGCUUUUCAGGAGUUUGUUUUGCUUGACGAGUGUUUGACCUAUUUUACAAUAAACUACUGUCAUAAAUAUUGUCGGAGCAAAAUAAAAGAAAAAUAUAAUUAUGUAUGCAUAGUAAAAUCUCUCAUAAACCACCCUUACGACAUUAUGCCGCAUAAAGCAUAGAGGCAAAAAUGGUCCAUAGCCCGCAAUGAGACCAGCAAUGUACACCACACUACAAGCGACUUUCAGUUUCCGUCGACUGAUGGCGUGUUUCAAGGGAUGUACCUGAGCACGAUAACGAAGUACUGAAAUUAUCAACAUCAUACCUAUUCCUGCCACUUGAAAGACGUAACUUAUCUUUAUACCAACACAAUACUUGACGGAAGUAUCAAAAAGUGGUUGAAAUUCAAGGUUGACAUGAUCCAAAAGAUAAAUGACCGUUGUUGCCAGAUCACAGAUCGCAAGUUGUAAAACAAGAAAGUAGUAGCUUCUCUUCAAAACACCCUUUUGUCUUAGUAUCGACAUGAUUACCAAACCAUUACCGAUAAUCCCAAAUAAAAGUAGUACAACGCCGGAAUAUUUAUAGACAUCGAAUGUUGUCUUCUCCAUUGUUUC
Non-coding RNA from Paramuricea clavata, 601 nucleotides. NCBI's taxonomy places the organism in Eukaryota, Metazoa, Cnidaria, Anthozoa, Malacalcyonacea, Plexauridae. The record is from the annotation of a GenBank genome assembly.